This 281-nucleotide ribosomal RNA is filed under the name uncultured bacterium. Its description in RNAcentral is "partial 16S ribosomal RNA". The record is from RNAcentral.
CGCGGUUACUAGCAACUCCGCAUUCACGGAGGCGAGUUGCAGCCUCCGAUCCUCACUGAGGUCGGGUUUGCUGGGAUCUCGCNUCCGGGUCGCCCCUUCGCUGCCCGUUGUCCCGACCAUUGUAGCGUGUGUGUAGCCCUGGACGUAAGAGCCGUGCUGACUUGACGUCAUCCCCACCUUCCUCCGGGUUGUACCCGGCGGUCUCGCCAGACAGGUAACUGGCGACGAGGGUKGCGCUCGUUGCGGGACUUAACCCAACMCCUCMCGSCACGAGCUGACGA